GACGAACGCUGGCGGCAUGCUUAACACAUGCAAGUCGAACGAAAAGGCCCGGCUUUUGUUGGGGGCUCGGUGGGCGAACGGGUGAGUAACACGUGAGUAACCUGCCCUUGACUUUGGGAUAGCUGCUGGAAACUGGGGCUAUUACGGGAUAGAAGCUCCUGCUGCAUGGUGUGGGUUGGAGAGGUACGGUGGUUGGGGAUGGACUCGCGGCUUAUCAGCUUGUUGGUGGGGUAGUGGCUGACCAGGUCUUUGGCGGGUAGCAGACCUGGGCGGGUGACCGGACAAACUGGACCUGGGAUAAGGCACAGCCUACAAUGGGACGCAGCAGUGGAGAAUGUAACACAAUAGGCGGAAGCCUGGUCUAGCACAGCAGCGUGCGGGAUGACGUCAUUGGGGUUGUAAACCGAUGUCCUCUGUGCCGAAGAGAGAGUGACGGUAAUGGGUAAAGAAGCCCCGGCUAACUACGUG
This 468-nucleotide ribosomal RNA is filed under the name uncultured bacterium. RNAcentral's name for it is "partial 16S ribosomal RNA". It matches the Rfam family "Bacterial small subunit ribosomal RNA", at positions 28 to 507 of the family's 1533-position model. The record is from RNAcentral.